AUUCUGUUUUUCAACCAACAAACCAAGUUACUGAAAACAUGUAUAAUUUUUAAAGGGAAUACAAAAUACAGUGUAGGGGUCACCUAUUUAACUUUCUUCACUUUGCUAAGCAAGGCUAAUAGCUAUACUAGCCGAGUAUAGAGAACCUAGAACAGACUGUGAACAAGUGCUUUGGUCUGUAAGCGAUCUGAAGUUUUAAAAUGUAUGAACAUACAGAGCUUCUGCUGUGGAAAGGAGAACCUCAUGUCAGUUUGAAGGUGCAAGAAAAACAGCAGUUGGUUUUGUGGCUAAUUAUAUACUUGUUCAAUUCAGAUGAGUUAUUUUGUUUAAUGACCAUCAGAGAUAAUACUGAGACUUGCUAAACUUGACAGAAGUAAUAGCAUUGGGAGAGCCUUAAAAAUACAAGUGCUUCUAAAAGAAACAAACAGUUGUAAUAAUUUUUAAUUUUUUUUUUGCCAAUCAGCACACAGUUUUAUCGCAGCAAUAAAGUCAUUCUCCAUGUCUCCAUCAGGCCUUGCUGCCUGUUGGCAAUAUUCCUGUCCAUUUCAUGGUAAUUUCAUCGGUUAUUAGCACUUGUCAAUAGCUUGUCCACCAUAAAUCUCACAUCUCCCAAACGCUGUCUGCUCACCAGAAUCAGUUUGCAGAUUUCUAAAAAUACCCUUCAGACCUCAGCUUCGUGUGGCUUCAGUUGCUGUUGGAUGAAGAACUAGACUUAAGUUGACUUGAGAUAACCGUGUUUGGUGUCUGCUGAUGCUUUUCCCCUCUCUUUUCUCAUGGAUGUGGAGAAGUGGAAGCAAUGCCUGUGUCAGUAUGUUCUUAAUCUUGGGAUUGAUUACUGAAAAACUUCUCUCCUAGUGUGAAGGUGCUGAUGUUAUUGAGAACUGUGGGAGCGUGCUUUUGGUUUAUAUCAGGCUCUUAACUUCACCUUAGUUGUUUCAGUUUGUGUCUCUUAAUGUGAGGUGCUGAUUUACUGUCCUGGUAUCACAAUGCAAUCACUGCACUGUCAGAUUCGUGCAUGAUUUUGAUCAGUUCUGAGAAAUAAAUAACAGAUAGGAGUUACCAGUGUGGUUAGACUGAAACGAUGUGCCUGAUUGUUAGAUAUCAGCUCCAGGUGGACCUCUUCAGGAUUUGUUGCAUUCCUCUAUGUUGUCAUUCACCUGUAAAGGGAAUCUGGGAGUGUUUAAUUGAAUGAGUUCUUACCAAUUCUCUAUCCAGCAUACGAUCUAGUCACUCAACUGGGGAAAAAACUGAGGACCAUGAGGAUGAGCUGCAGUGACCUGUGAUAGAAGAGUGUUUGGUGUAAGCAACCUAAAUCUUCAGGUUGUGAUACACACCAACAUGUAUACAUCUGCUUUGUAGAAAUGGAGUUGGAAUUCCAGAAUCUCAAGUGAUUUCUGGAUUGGAGAGAACACCCUGUUUUUUUUGAUACUUAAAAUGCAUAGUUUUGGGGAUGAUAGUUGGGCGCAUAGAAUUAACUGAAAAUUGGGUUGGAAUCAGAUUCUUUGUUUUCUGUGUUGCUUAAAACAUAGGAAGAAGGCCUGAAGUACUUUGCAAAAUGAUCUUCAGUAUCUGUAUGCUUCUCUGAAAUUUUCUCAGUUUUAAAUUUGGUGUGGAAUAAUUACUAACCAUCUUUACUAACAUCUUUACUUAGGAAUACUUCACUGAAUUCCUGACUGCGUAGGCACUUGUAGAACUUGUGGAGAUUUUGCUUAGGUAAGAGUAAUAAUAUGGAUUAAGAGCUGCAGUCAUGCUGAGCUGUAAUAAUUAUAACAAUAAAGAAAAAAAUGAAGUAAACUGAGAGUUAAACAGAAAGGCUCUGAAGAGCACAUCACUGCAGUUUCAGAUAGCUAUCACUAGGAGGACACACAGACCACGACAUCAAGGAGCUGCUUGUUUACCACCUCGUAUUAACUGGUUUGAUGCUAGUUUAUAAAAUCCAGAAAAGUACAUGGGGAAAAGUGGCUGAAUAAUUUGUAAUUUGUGGCUUCAGGUAUUGUUUUACUCAGAGUAGGGAGUUGUGUAACAGAAGAGAAAGGAGUAUGAGAACAUUUGGAAAUCUCUCGGUGCUUUGUCAUUGAAUCAGCAGAAUGCUGCUUCGUGUGCACAUAUGCCAGGCAGUAAUUGAUGACAUGUAGGUGGAAGCGAGCUUUUUUUAUUGGUUAUUGUCCAGUUGUCUGUGCAGUAAUUUCUAACACCUCUUUAUGUUACGGGCUUCUGCUGGGCAGGGUGCUGUGUAAGAUGGAGCACUGGCUGGGACUUGGCGCAUCGCUUCUUGUCGUCUCGGCUAACGUUUAACCUGUUUGUGGUCUCGCACGGUGUUUGCAGAUAGCUUUUCUUUUAGUUCUCUGUGCAUGUUUACUUAGAUUCUGAUGUACAGUGCCGGGAUAAGGAACAUGGAAAUGAGGCUCACUGAUGUAAUAGACUGUAGAGUGCCCGUGUUGCUGAGGCAAGCUGUUACCUAAUAAGGAUUUCAGAAUCUGACUCUUUCCGUAUAGGAUUGUUAUUGAUAUCACACAUGCAGACAAAGAUGAUAACUGAAGCAUAUGCUUUAAAUAAAAUGACACGAGAAAAUGAAAAAUGGUUUCAGACUUAAAAUUAGUGAAAGAUCCAUGGAAAUAACACCAGAUGGAGAGAAAAAGAAAGUAAGACAGAUUAUUAAUAAGUACAAUGUGCUACAGUUAGAUAGAAUAUAAUCUUGCAGGCUGCCAGUGCAUGAAAUUCAUUGUGACUUCUGUAAGAGUUGCUUUGUUACAUAAAGUGAAAAUACGCCGACUCUUCUGGAAUAAUACCUGGUAUUGCAAAUAGGAGCAGAGCCCAGUUUUAGGUAGUUCUGGAUUGUUACGACCCACUAAGUCUGGUUAGAACAGAACAGAGUUCUGAGAAAGAGGUGUUAUUUAUGGAAUUAUACAGUUUCACAUCUCUGGAUUCAUGUACUUAAUUUGCUUUGAGACAUUUUCCUCACUAUUGCAGCUGGUUUCUAUUGCUGAGUUUUGUAAGGUUCAGCAACACAAGCACUCUGCCUGCCUGCAGGAAAACUGAGGUCUGGGACUGUUGCAUGGAUGCUUUACUGAAACUUGUGAUUAAAUAAACCUGUUUGCUUCUUGCUCAUUCUGUGUUAAUCAUAAUUUGUUUUCAUGCAUUUGUGGUUCUUCAAGUAUUGCUUUGAUUCUGAACAGAGCUUGUUCUAUUUUCUUACUAGCAAUAUUUUUGUCCAUCCAUUUCUACUCUCCCAGCUAGCUGACUUCAUUAUUUUAUUGUGGGAAUCAGUCUUCUUUUGUACCACGAAAUCCUGGUGUGCUGCUCAGGCUCUUAAUGGUCAAAAAGCAGGAGCACAGCUGGCUUCCAUUUGUUACGUGUGCUGGCUCUGUGGAUAGGACUGGGCACUGUGCAGAUCUGUGGCUUUAGCCCCCUGGACCACGUGCAUCUUUAGAAUUUGAAUUGAAUUACAGGUUCAUCAAGGCAACUCUUCCGCAUCAGGUGACAUCUGGUUUUACCUGUCCAGCCUUCUCAUGCUGUCUGUAGGAUUUCUGUUGUAAAGAUCCUGCUCUAAAACUAAUCCAGGAUAUUCUAAAUAACAAUUGAAGUAAAAGUGGAAACUGCAUAAUAUUACUUACCUCAUUAGAGAUCCGUAGCAUUUUUGUUCUGGUUAUAAUUUUGGAAACAAAAUGUUAGGCCUUGAAAGUGGAGAUGAGGCCCUGCAUGAGAGCUGCUGAGUUCAGUGUGACCCACUGAUUGAGCACCUGGGGAAAGGAGCCGGUCAACCCUGGGAGCACAGGUGAAGGCAAUUCAGCUGUGACUGGAAGGGGCGGAGCCUGGCUUCACCUCUCUUAGACCUCAUUUAAGGGCUGACUGCCACUGAAGAAGGAUCUUUUUCUGGAGCCCUUCUCGGUGAAGCUUUCCCCUGAAAUCUAGAAUCUUCUGAUACAGGUGAGCAAUCUUCUUGCCUUCCUUUGUAGCAUCGCUCUGUCAUGCCAGUCUUUUUGUUGUCACACCUUUGUUGUAAUGCCUUUCCCACUGUAUUGAUCUAACUGCUACAGGCUGCUAUUAAGGAUUGAUCUAGCCAGAACAAAGACUUAAGGUCCAUUUAAUCUUAAUGGGGAGUGCGAGGACCAGGCCACAAGACUUCAUGAAUUGAAAAUGCUCGAAAGUUCUGUACUGCUUUUUGCCAAAAGUUGGGUGAAAGUGGUGUUUCCUGAAGAGUUGCAUUGGGCUAACUGAAUGAGGUUUUCACGACUGUUCUGUUGCUGUAACCACCAUGGAUGUGAAUGCUGUGGUGAUAAAGGCUUGCCGUUGUCUCAUUCUGGAUUCCUCAAAUCCAAGAGCUACUCAGCAGUUUCCAAGGCAACCACCUGUGGAAUAAUUAAAAAGGAUGAAGUGUUGGUGUGCCAGAUGCACGAAAUUCUUGCCUGGAGAGAGCACUUCGUUUUCAGCUGUUUCGAAUGUGAUUCUGCCAGCACAGUUCAGAGGAAGAAAUGAUGGCAGAGUUGUCAUACAAGCAUCCAGGGACAAUUCAAAAAGUGACUCAAAGCAGGAGGAGCAGAUGUCUGCGGCGUCCGCUGGUGACUGCAGCCUUAGGAGAUGAGUUUUGGAAUCCCCAUCAAAGUCAGGAUUAGGCUCAGGAUCCUCCAGCAGCGCCGAGCCCCGCUGGGGGAGUGCAGAGGAAGAGGAAACCAUUCACAGCGACUCAUCGUGUGGUUGGGUGAUUCAGGGGUCUGCUGGUGACAGUCACAGAGGCACGUGGCUCGCUGCACCGUCUUUGUCUGCUGUGCAGGAUGCAAACGGUCUCCGAACAUUAAUUCUGCCCUUUUGAUUUUUGUCCGGUGAAUUAUUUCCAGAAAGGAGUUACUGUGUUUUCUGGAAUGAGUGUUGUGAAAUUCUUUUCUUUACAGUGGGCGAGUUUUCAGCUGGUGAUUUAUCAACCAAGUAUUUUAUGGGAUCGCAGUUUAAGGCUCUUCUAUAAAAAAAAAAAUACCCGGUGUGAUAGGGAAAGUAAAAGUGUCUUGGUUCCCAAAUGAUGGAGGAAUAACCGAAAGAGCGAGUUCUUGGAAUAGUAGAUCCAUUGGCACUCGUUGGUGAUUUCCUGCGCGUUUGCUGAAAGAAGCACUUGGUGAUGUGAGUAGGUGGUACUAAAGGGUUAUUACGAAACCAAUUUCAACCAGACAUUUGAGUCAUGGAUUGGGAAGAAGGAGAGCAGCUUCCGAGCUUUCUCUUUGUUUGAGCUGAGCGCAUGAGAGGCACGGGCAGGAUAUUCUGUGUUGGUGUGGAGAAGGAUGGAGCGGGAGCAGGUCUGGCAUUUGGUGAUGCUCCCUUCCUCGUGCCACCGUGUGCUGCCAUGGGCAGUGAGGAUGUGGGCUGCAGGAGCUGGUGGCAGCAUGCAAGGUGCACGCGGAGCACUUCCCUGCCUGUGGCUCGAUUUGAAAACGUAAGUAAUUGCUCGUGGCUUCUCCCAGACGUGAGAGACAAAAUGGAGCUGUGUCAGGAUGAACGUCUGCGCCAGGGCAAGCUGGUUUGUUGGAGCUUGGUUCUGUUCUGCGAGCAGCUGAGCUGCCACUGGCAGCAGACAGUUGGCUUCUCCAUCAGGGAGAAAAAAACAGGGGGUGUUUAAGGGAAUUGGUUUGGCUCCUAAAACGAAGGAAUUGUUGACCUACUGACUCAGUUAUGAAGAAUCAGGGAAACGGUCUUAUUGUGGUUUCUUUUGUUGGUAGCAGAUUCAGAAGACAUCUGUGAGCAUACGGGUAGGACUAGCACAGGAGAGGUGCUUCUGGUACCUGCUGCAUGCUGCAUGGAUUUUGUGCCAGGAAGGAGCUGAGGUGCUGACUGCUCAGCAACACCUAAGCUUGAUUUCUGAUGCUUUUCCUGAUAAUGCAGUGGUGCUGAUCUUCUGUGAGUGCCUUCCCAGUGCCAAAGAAAGAACAUGUUUUUGAUGGAAAGCCUACUUUUAAAUGAGUACAAACAGAAAGUGUCACUCCUCAUGGGAGGGGUCAGGAAUACUUGAAUCUUCAGCUAGAAGAUCUUCUGCAGCCUGUUUAUCAGAUUGAGGACAACCCUUUCUCAUUCAUAAUGGAUUGUUCAGAAAAAAAAAGACAAUUGGACGUGGUAGAAGCUGUUUUUUUCCUAAGCGUGGCCCAAGGACAGCUGCAUCAGUACAACUGGAGGUGACAUGAACUGCAGCAUCAGAGGCACAGCAAGCACUGGAGGAUGUCCCAAUGUUAAGUGGUCUUGCUGUCAGCAAAAACCUGCUCUGGUACUGUAUCCCAGUUGGAUGGGUUUCACUGGAUGUAGAAAUAUUUAUUGAACUGUUCAUUUGUUUGUUUGUUUUUAAGGAUUAAUAUCUUGGGGUUUUGUGUUGUUUGGAUUUUUUUUUUUUUUUUUUUUUUGCUUGAGAUAAACCAUCUAUCUGAGAAAUAAGUCAGCUUUGUGGACAGCCAGUGGAUGUCAAUAAAGUCUUGGCAAACACAGUAGGUAUUUAUUCAGCCUUGCAAAUUAGAAACAUUUCUCCUGCUUGUUUUAUGAAGGGAACAAAAAAAGACAAAUUACAUAGCGGAUGAGCUCUCUUGAUAGUUGGAAUUCGUUUGUCUGGUGGUGAAAACGCUGGGGGAUUUAUGGUGCAGAAAAAUAAAAGAUGAAACAGCUUUUCACCAAUAGCAGUGCUUUAAGUUCUCAUUGAAAAUUACUGGGGAAAAAACCCUUUAAAGACAUCUGUAGCUGACUUCACAGUCUCAAUUACUGUCUUGGUAGGCAGUUCUUCCCUUCCUCACUGCAGUAAGUAUUAAUUGUUUUUUCAGCUGGCAAACAAUUCCUUUAUGGUUCCUUGGUCUUAUUGCCGUGGGGUAUCUGCAGCAACUCAUAAGUGAGAUACAUGGCCAAGUGUUGAGUAGGAAGUUCGCACUCCUGCUUCCCAUGCUAUAGCCGCUCUGUUAACAGAGGCUUUCUGCAAAGUUAUCAAUCUGUCAUCUUCUCUUGGCUUCACAUUUUAUUAAAAAAAGGAAUUUGAAAAGUUACAGUAAGUUGAGCAAUUUGUCAGACGUAAGUAACUUGAAGGCUAUUGUCUCCAAAUUACAGGCUGACUCGGUCUUGCAGCCUGUCAUGGAUGGAUCAUAAAAUUGUCAUAGAUAAAAGCUUUAACAAAAUCCGCUUAGGCAGCUCCUGUGAUGGCAGAACAUGGAAAGGAAGCAAUAACUGAAAGACCUGGUAAGCCUUUGGCUGCAGCUAAACCACUCGUAAGUCACUAGAAUUAUUCAACAGCAAAACAAAACCAGAGAAAACUCCAAACUUGCAGUGGUUUAAUCUCUGAUGUAGCUUCACUCGUGUAAGUAAUCUCACUGAUGUCAGAUAAGGCCUUGUGAAUUCUGUAAUAUUGAAGAUCAAACUGCUGAUGCUUUAUUUCCUCUGAAAGGGUACAGAAUAGUGUUUAUUUGUAACUACAGAAACAAUGAAACAAGAAGCUUGUUCAUUUCAAGUUUUUAUGCAAGUCUGUUAACUGAGCUGAGUUUGCUCUCUAUAUUUCCCAAGUUCCUGCUUUUCUACUAAGUAGAAUCAUCAGCAUGAAGGUGUUGUCUCCUCUGCUCCUCUUCUUCCUCUCCAUUUAAACAAAGAAAUUAUUGCUAGCAAAUGUGGAAGGAACAGAGAAGUCCAAGAUCUAAAGAUUCAUUAAAAAUGUACAGGGUCUGAUAGUUGAAGGAGCUAAUUAGGAGGCGUCUUGGAGAAUUAGCUUAGUUCUCUAUCUGUAGUUCAUUUGUUCUUCCAGUUUAGAAGAACAGUUUGCAGCCCUAAUGCAGGAGUGCUUCUCGCUGUCUGUGCUCUGGAACUGCACAUUGUUCUUACAUUUUUUGAAAGACACUUUCUUCAAAAGUACAGAUGUGUUCAGUGGAAGAGUCUGUCCUUUGGUUAGUCAUACUGAGACAUUGUGGUCUGCACCCAUUGUAGGAGUAGCAAUAAAUGCACAUACACACAUGCUGAACUUCAACUGCAAAUCCCUUGUACAUGGCACAUGUAACUGUGCAUGGACACACACUGCAACAGUUCAGCCUUGCCUCUGAGCAGGGAAGAUAACAGUUGUGAAGCCUUACUGCCUCCUUGUCUCACAGAUUGAUGCCAAAUUUGUUGGAUUUUCUCUCGAAGAUUUUCUGGGAGGGGAGUGCUUAAGCUGUCCUGCAAACAGAUAUUCCCUGGGAACUGCCUAUGCUCAUUUCAGAUUUCUCUCUUCCAUCUUCAGCCAUGUAGAAGCUCAGUUUCUAGGCUCAGCUAGUUGUUUAGCUUGUCGCUGUGGUAAAUGAAGAGUUACACACCUCUGGAGGUAAUUAACACAUGGAAAUAGAUGUAAUUAAUUACAUUUCUGACAUGAUUUCCUGCUGCCUGAAGAGAACAAUUUUAACACUACUUGGCUGUCCUCAGGAGACUGCGGAUGGGUUCAUCUCGGGUGAUGUUUGUAAUCAGCUGAAGUCAGCUUGCACAGAGCUGCCAGCAGCAGGCACAGAAUGUGCAGGUAUGACACUGCAGAAGGGAACAAGUACAGCCCUUAACUUCUUGAAUUAUACUGCAGCAGGGCAAAGUUUGAGGCUUUUUCAAGCCUUGAGGAAAUUGUCCACAGUGUUAAAGCAUCAGCAUUUCCUGCGCCCGCCAGAACAGUGUUGUUUUACAGCCACACAGGGCACAGCGGUUGCCUUCUAUCAUCAGAACAUGCUGUGCUGUUGUGCUGCUGCUGCUUUGGGUAAUUUGUUCUUGCUGAAGCUCUGUGAUGUGCUUAUGGAGUGCUUCGCAGAAUGUCACCGUGAGCGUGGCUGUGCCUCAUCUGUGCAAACACUGGGAGUUGUUUGACUUGAUUUCGUAGACUCGACUUGGGUAUGUUUGUUCUGCCAGCUGAAAUGAGACAUUGAAGACAGGUUAUAAAAAAUACAUCUGUUUGAAAAGAUUAAAUGGUUUAAAACACACUUGAGUAAUAGAGUUCCAAGAAAAAUCCUUGUGUCAGACUUCCUAGAAAUUGUGGUGGAACCAGGUGGUAAGUGCCAGCACUGAGCAGUUAAUUAAUGCAGCCCUCACAUUAGGUUUGGGCACACACCUCUAGCGUUACAAAUACCCACAAACGGUGGACCGGUCCAUCUUUGGGGCGAGUCAGCAUGCAGGGACUGAUACAUAGACUGUUUCACACGCUGUUAUUUCUGCUACUGCUGCUAAAAAUAAUGUGUUUCAGCAUUGAGCAGGAGGCAUUUCGCAUGGUGUUUUGCUGUCACUAGAGGGAGUUUGCAGCAGUGCUUCUCUUACUGACGUCCUCGGUGAUCUCGGUGCUGUGGGGAGACCUCGGCAGACACUGUGCCAGGACAACGGCAGUUCUGAAAGUAGGAUGAGGGUCCUUCUUCCUUCGGUACACCCUGGUACGUCUUGUAAUCUGGAUUAACAACAUUCUUCAGGGUAAUAGUGCUGUAAGCAGUUCUGUUUCUGUUGGUAGCGCUGUAAUAGAAAACAAAUGAGCAUUCGGUGACUCAAAGCAGAAUCAGGAAGUAAGAAAAAAGCAUUGAUUAUUUAAUAGGAAAAAACAAAGAUGGAAAAAACCACCAUGGAUAGAUACUCUUCUGAUUUAUUGUUACAGGAAUAUGGUCUUGGCUAGAAACAAGC
This is a long non-coding RNA of Tympanuchus pallidicinctus (lesser prairie-chicken), 9612 nucleotides long. RefSeq lists it as uncharacterized. The record is from RefSeq and is a predicted model, not a curated record. Lineage: Eukaryota; Metazoa; Chordata; Aves; Galliformes; Phasianidae. The transcript is spliced from 8 exons.